UACGUAGGGGGCGAGCGUUGUCCGGAAUGACUGGGCGUAAAGGGCGUGUAGGCGGUUGUCUAAGUCUGGAGUGAAAGUCCUGUUUUUAAGGUGGGAAUAGCUUUGGAUACUGGAUGACUUGAGUGCGGAAGAGGUAAGUGGAAUUCCCAGUGUAGCGGUGAAAUGCGUAGAGAUUGGGAGGAACACCAGUGGCGAAGGCGACUUACUGGGCCGUAACUGACGCUGAGGCGCGAAAGCGUGGGGAGCGAAC
This 250-nucleotide ribosomal RNA is filed under the name uncultured prokaryote. Its description in RNAcentral is "partial 16S ribosomal RNA". It matches the Rfam family "Bacterial small subunit ribosomal RNA", at positions 524 to 773 of the family's 1533-position model. The record is from RNAcentral.